AUUGAACGCUGGCGGCAUGCCUUACACAUGCCAGUCGAACGGUAACAGGCCGCUUGCUCCUGACGUGUGGGGCGCGGGGGUGUAUAGUGCCUGAACGUCUGCCUGGUUGUGGGGUAUAAAGUCCGGAGACUAGCUCAAAUCGCACACGAGCUCUGGGUGAAAGCGUGGGAGCGUAUGGCACCUCGCGAUUUGAGCUGCCCCUAUGUCAGAUUAGCUAGUUGGUGGGGUAAAGGCCUACCAAGACCACGAUCCGUAUCUGGUCUGAGAGGAUGAUCAGUCACACUGGAACUGAGACACGGCCCAGACUCCUACGGGAGGCAGCAGUGGGGAAUUUUGGACAAUGGGCGAAAGCCUGAUCCAGCCAUGCCGCGUGUAGGAAGAAGGUCUUCGGAUUGUAAACUGCUUUAAGAUGGGAGGAAGCGGAGUUAGUUAAUACCCUGCGGUAAUGACGUUACCAAAAGAAUAAGCACCGGCUAACUACGUG
Molecule: ribosomal RNA, 484 nt
Filed under: uncultured bacterium
Lineage: Bacteria
Description: partial 16S ribosomal RNA
Rfam family: Bacterial small subunit ribosomal RNA
Source: RNAcentral